This 346-nucleotide ribosomal RNA is filed under the name Rickettsiales bacterium Atri-uru. RNAcentral's name for it is "bacterial SSU rRNA". It matches the Rfam family "Bacterial small subunit ribosomal RNA", at positions 474 to 819 of the family's 1533-position model. The record is from RNAcentral. Lineage: Bacteria; Pseudomonadati; Pseudomonadota; Alphaproteobacteria; Rickettsiales.
GGUACCCACAGAAGAAGUCCCGGCUAACUUCGUGCCAGCAGCCGCGGUAAUACGAAGGGGGCUAGCGUUACUCGGAAUUAUUGGGCGUAAAGCGUGCGUAGGCUGCUUAGUAAGUCAAAAGUGAAAGCCUUGGGCUUAACCUAAGAAUUGCUUUUGAAACUGCUAGGCUUGAGUACUGUAGGGGAUAGCGGAAUUCCUAGUGUAGGGGUGAAAUUCGUAGAUAUUAGGAGGAACACCGGAGGCGAAAGCGGUUAUCUGGACAGUCACUGACGCUGUUGCACGAAAGCGUGGGGAGCAAACAGGAUUAGAUACCCUGGUAGUCCACGCUGUAAACGAUGAGUGCUAA